AUAAAAGUAGCAAAUACGUGCAUUAGGUUUAAGCCCUAAAUAUGAAGAUUUUUAAGCUCUUUCUUUUAUU
RNAcentral lists this transfer RNA (70 nucleotides) under Melarhaphe neritoides. RNAcentral describes it as "tRNA-Leu". The record is from RNAcentral. Lineage: Eukaryota; Metazoa; Mollusca; Gastropoda; Littorinimorpha; Littorinidae.